RNAcentral lists this ribosomal RNA (738 nucleotides) under uncultured haloarchaeon. RNAcentral's name for it is "bacterial SSU rRNA". It matches the Rfam family "Archaeal small subunit ribosomal RNA", at positions 5 to 746 of the family's 1478-position model. Lineage: Archaea; Methanobacteriati; Methanobacteriota; Halobacteria; Halobacteriales; Halobacteriaceae. The record is from RNAcentral.
CGGUUGAUCCUGCCGGAGGACAUUGCUAUUGGGAUUCGAUUUAGCCAUGCUAGUCGAACGAGUUCAGACUCGUGGCGAAUAGCUCAGUAACACGUGGCCAAGCUCCCCUUCAGUCAGCGAUACCCUCGGGAAACUGAGGUUAACAGCUGAUACAAAACGCCAGCUGGAAUGCGGCGUUUCAGAAAGACAUCGCUGAAGGAUGCGGCUGCGGCUGAUUAGGUAGACGGUGGGGUAACGGCCCACCGUGCCAGUAAUCAGUACGGGUGAUGAGAGUCAGAGCCCGGAGACGGAAUCUGAGACAAGAUUCCGGGCCCUACGGGGCGCAGCAGGCGCGAAACCUUUACACUGCACGGAAGUGCGAUAGGGGAAUCCCAAGUGCGAGGGCAUAUUAGCCCUCGCUUUUCUCGACUGUAAGGUGGUCGACGAAUAAGAGCUGGGCAAGACCGGUGCCAGCCGCCGCGGUAAUACCGGCAGCUCAAGUGAUGUCCCAUAUUAUUGGGCCUAAAGCGUCCGUAGCUGGCCGACCAAGUCUACCGGGAAAUCCACCCGCCCAACGGGUGGGCGUCCGGUAGAAACUGGCCGGCUUGGAACCGGAAGGCUCAGAGAGUACGUCCGGGGUAGGAGUGAAAUCCCGUAAUCCCGGACGGACUACCGACGGCGAAAGCACUCUGAGAAGACGGCUUCGACAGUGAGGGACGAAAGCUCGGGUCUCAAACCGGAUUAGAUACCCCGGUAGUC